Molecule: non-coding RNA, 609 nt
Organism: Paramuricea clavata
Lineage: Eukaryota; Metazoa; Cnidaria; Anthozoa; Malacalcyonacea; Plexauridae
Source: the annotation of a GenBank genome assembly
CUCUUGCAACAUUCCCGCGUGUUUCGAUCAGGCCAUCCAAACACGGAAACCAUAAAGUAAUUGUAUAAUGAGUUUUUUAUCACAUUUAAAUGUUAAAAAGACCUGCAUAUAAGGAGAAAUGUUUAUUACAUAACGGGUGUUUAGUGGAGAGAGGCGCCUAUUACAAAUUCUCGUCUGACUAGGAGGCAAUUGGAUAUCCGCGACGUUAAUUUAUAAAGAGUAGGCGGUUAUUAGAUUAUUAACAGCCGACUAUGCGUAGCCAAACGAGCAAGAAGAACCCAGACUUUACUGUUACUACUAGGAAUUAGGAAAGUAAGUGAACUUUACCGUGAUGCUUAUAUGGAAACAUUGCCAGGUCCUCUCCAUUGAUUGCUACUGAGCUGUCUCUUUUUAAAUGUACAUCAGUUGUGUUGAAAUGUACAGUUACGGUCUUAGUGCACGCUUGAGAAUUGUCUGUGCCACAAGGAAAGUUAUCGACAAUCACUAAGAAUGUGUUAGCCACUGAGUCUUGAGCAAGAAUGUAUUUACAAUGACCCAUGAACGAGUAGUACUUGCCAUCAAACGUUCUGUAAUGUGGGUCGCCUAUUGCCGAACAUCUGCCUGAAAAUA